Molecule: ribosomal RNA, 791 nt
Filed under: uncultured Bacteroidota bacterium
Lineage: Bacteria; Pseudomonadati; Bacteroidota
Description: bacterial SSU rRNA
Rfam family: Bacterial small subunit ribosomal RNA
Source: RNAcentral
GGGGAAACGGCAUUAUGUGCUUGCACAUUCUGGACGUCGACCGGCGCACGGGUGAGUAUCGCGUAUCCAACCUGCCCCUUACUUGGGGAUACCCCGUUGAAAGACGGCCUAAUACCCGAUGUGUUUCAUUGACGGCAUCCGAUAUGAAACAAAGGUUUUCCGGUAAGGGAUGGGGAUGCGUCUGAUUAGCUUGUUGGCGGGGCAACGGCCCACCAAGGCGACGAUCAGUAGGGGUUCUGAGAGGAAGGUCCCCCACAUUGGAACUGAGACACGGUCCAAACUCCUACGGGAGGCAGCAGUGAGGAAUAUUGGUCAAUGGACGUAAGUCUGAACCAGCCAAGUAGCGUGCAGGAUGACGGCCCUAUGGGUUGUAAACUGCUUUUAUGUGGGAAUAAAGUGGCGCACGUGUGCGCCAUUGCAUGUACCUCAUGAAUAAGGACCGGCUAAUUCCGUGCCAGCAGCCGCGGUAAUACGGAAGGUCCGGGCGUUAUCCGGAUUUAUUGGGUUUAAAGGGAGUGUAGGCGGUCUGUUAAGCGUGUUGUGAAAUUUAGGUGCUCAACAUUUAACUUGCAGCGCGAACUGUCAGACUUGAGUACACGCAGCGCAGGCGGAAUUCAUGGUGUAGCGGUGAAAUGCUUAGAUAUCAUGAGGAACUCCGAUCGCGAAGGCAGCCUGCGGGAGUGUUACUGACGCUUAAGCCCGAAGGUGCGGGUAUCGAACAGGAUUAGAUACCCUGGUAGUCCGCACUGUAAACGAUGGAUGCCCGCCGUUGGCGCCCUGCGCCUGCGGCC